AACGAACGCUGGCGGCGUGCUUAACACAUGCAAGUCGAACGGAAAGGCCCCUUUGGGGGUACUCGAGUGGCGAACGGGUGAGUAACACGUGAGUAACCUGCCCUUGACUUCGGGAUAACUUCAGGAAACUGGGGCUAAUACCGGAUAGGAAUCCUUGCUGCAUGGUGGGGGUUGGAAAGCUUCGGCGGUUUUGGAUGGACUCGCGGCUUAUCAGCUUGUUGGUGGGGUAGUGGCUUACCAAGGCUUUGACGGGUAGCCGGCCUGAGAGGGCGACCGGCCACAUUGGGACUGAGAUACGGCCCAGACUCCUACGGGAGGCAGCAGUGGGGAAUAUUGCACAAUGGGCGGAAGCCUGAUGCAGCAACGCCGCGUGCGGGAUGACGGCCUUCGGGUUGUAAACCGCUUUCAGCAGGGGCGAAGCUUGUGGUGACGGUACCUGCAGAAGAAGCACCGGCUAACUACGUG
This 465-nucleotide ribosomal RNA is filed under the name uncultured bacterium. RNAcentral's name for it is "partial 16S ribosomal RNA". It matches the Rfam family "Bacterial small subunit ribosomal RNA", at positions 28 to 507 of the family's 1533-position model. The record is from RNAcentral.